Molecule: ribosomal RNA, 478 nt
Filed under: uncultured bacterium
Lineage: Bacteria
Description: partial 16S ribosomal RNA
Rfam family: Bacterial small subunit ribosomal RNA
Source: RNAcentral
GACGAACGCUGGCGGCGUGCUUAACACAUGCAAGUCGAACGGUAAUGCCCUUCGGGGUACACGAGUGGCGAACGGGUGAGUAACACGUGGGUGAUCUGCCCUGCACUUCGGGAUAAGCCGGGGAAACUGGGUCUAAUACCGGAUAGGACAACUGCCUGCAUGGGUGGGGGUGGAAAGCUUUUGCGGUGUGGGAUGGGCCCGCGGCCUAACAGCUUUGUGGUGGGGUGAUGGCCUACCAAGGCUACGACGGGUAGCCGGCCUGAGAGGGUGACCGGCCACACUGGGACUGAGAUACGGCCCAGACUCCUACGGGAGGCAGCAGUGGGGAAUAUUGCACAAUGGGCGCAAGCCUGAUGCAGCGACGCCGCGUGAGGGAUGACGGCCUUCGGGUUGUAAACCUCUUUCAGCACCGACGAAGCGCAAGUGACGGUAGGUGCAGAAGAAGGACCGGCCAACUACGUGCCAGCCGCCGCCGUAA